This 300-nucleotide ribosomal RNA is filed under the name uncultured Paracoccus sp. RNAcentral describes it as "bacterial SSU rRNA". It matches the Rfam family "Bacterial small subunit ribosomal RNA", at positions 496 to 795 of the family's 1533-position model. Lineage: Bacteria; Pseudomonadati; Pseudomonadota; Alphaproteobacteria; Rhodobacterales; Paracoccaceae. The record is from RNAcentral.
CGUAAUGAGGAGCAUGCCGCAGCGGUCAUACGUAGGGCGCAGGCGUUUGCCGGAAGUAUUGGGCUGAAAGAGCGCGUAGGCGGCGUGGCACGUCGAUUGUGAAAGCCCGAGGCUUAACCGCGGGUCUGCAGUCGAUACGGGCUAGCUAGAGUGUGGUAGGGGAGGUCGGAAUUCCUGGUGUAGCGGUGAAAUGCGCAGAUAUCAGGAGGAACACCGGUGGCGAAGGCGGAUCUCUGGGCCAUUACUGACGCUGAGGAGCGAAAGCGUGGGGAGCGAACAGGAUUAGAUACCCUUGUAGUC